UUUUUAAUUUAAAAAAAUUUAUAAAAUCUGAACCUAUUUUAAAUUCAUGUAUAAAAAAAAAAUUUAUUUAAAUACUUUGUAAUAAAGGGAAUUAAAAUUUAAAUUAAAAU
RNAcentral lists this ribosomal RNA (110 nucleotides) under Saprolegnia ferax. The record is from RNAcentral. Lineage: Eukaryota; Oomycota; Saprolegniomycetes; Saprolegniales; Saprolegniaceae.